Molecule: ribosomal RNA, 320 nt
Filed under: uncultured bacterium
Lineage: Bacteria
Description: bacterial SSU rRNA
Rfam family: Bacterial small subunit ribosomal RNA
Source: RNAcentral
UGACGGUACCACUUGAAUAAGCUCCGGCUAACUACGUGCCAGCAGCCGCGGUAAUACGUAGGGAGCAAGCGUUAUCCGGAUUUACUGGGUGUAAAGGGCGUGUAGGCGGGACUACAAGUCAGAUGUGAAAGCACGGGGCUCAACUCCGUGUCUGCAUUUGAAACUGCAGUUCUUGAGUGCUGGAGAGGCUAACGGAAUUCCUAGUGUAGCGGUGAAAUGCGUAGAUAUUAGGAGGAACACCAGUGGCGAAGGCGGUUAGCUGGACAGUAACUGACGCUGAGGCGCGAAAGCGCGGGUAGCAAACAGGAUUAGAUACCCUG